Molecule: transfer RNA, 73 nt
Filed under: Armatimonadota bacterium
Lineage: Bacteria; Bacillati; Armatimonadota
Description: Armatimonadetes bacterium (rhizosphere metagenome) tRNA-Leu
Rfam family: tRNA
About the family: Transfer RNA (tRNA) molecules are approximately 80 nucleotides in length.
Source: RNAcentral
GCCCCUGUAGCCCAACGGCAGAGGCAACCCGCUUAAACCGGGUCCAGUGAGAGUUCAAAUCUCUCCGGGGGCA